This 497-nucleotide ribosomal RNA is filed under the name uncultured bacterium. RNAcentral's name for it is "partial 16S ribosomal RNA". It matches the Rfam family "Bacterial small subunit ribosomal RNA", at positions 28 to 507 of the family's 1533-position model. The record is from RNAcentral.
GAUGAACGCUGGCGGCGUGCCUAAUACAUGCAAGUCGAGCGAACAGACGAGGAGCUUGCUCCUCUGACGUUAGCGGCGGACGGGUGAGUAACACGUGGAUAACCUACCUAUAAGACUGGGAUAACUUCGGGAAACCGGAGCUAAUACCGGAUAAUAUAUUGAACCGCAUGGUUCAAUAGUGAAAGACGGUUUUGCUGUCACUUAUAGAUGGAUCCGCGCCGCAUUAGCUAGUUGGUAAGGUAACGGCUUACCAAGGCAACGAUGCGUAGCCGACCUGCGAGAGUGAUCGGCCACACGGGAACGGAGACACGGUCCAGACUCCUACGGGAGGCAGCAGUAGGGAAUCUUCCGCAAUGGUCGAAAGCUUGACGGAGCAACGCCGCGUGAGUGAUGAAGGUCUUCGGAUCGGAAAACUCUGUUAUUAGGGAAGAACAAAUGUGUAAGUAACUAUGCACGUCUUGACGGUACCUAAUCAGAAAGCCACGGCUAACUACGUG